GAUGAACGCUGGCGGCGUGCCUAAUACAUGCAAGUCGAGCGAACAGACGAGGAGCUUGCUCCUCUGACGUUAGCGGCGGACGGGUGAGUAACACGUGGAUAACCUACCUAUAAGACUGGGAUAACUUCGGGAAACCGGAGCUAAUACCGGAUAAUAUAUUGAACCGCAUGGUUCAAUAGCGAAAGACGGUUUUGCUGUCACUUAUAGAUGGAUCCGCGCCGCAUUAGCUAGUUGGUAAGGUAACGGCUUACCAAGGCAACGAUGCGUAGCCGACCUGAGAGGGUGAUCGGCCACACUGGAACUGAGACACGGUCCAGACUCCUACGGGAGGCAGCAGCAGGGAAUCUUCCGCAAUGGGCGAAAGCCUGACGGAGCAACGCCGCGUGAGUGAUGAAGGUCUUCGGAUCGUAAAACUCUGUUAUUAGGGAAGAACAAAUGUGUAAGUAACUAUGCACGUCUUGACGGUACCUAAUCAGAAAGCCACGGCUAACUACGUG
RNAcentral lists this ribosomal RNA (497 nucleotides) under uncultured bacterium. Its description in RNAcentral is "partial 16S ribosomal RNA". It matches the Rfam family "Bacterial small subunit ribosomal RNA", at positions 28 to 507 of the family's 1533-position model. The record is from RNAcentral.